CCUACGGGAGGCAGCAGUGAGGAAUAUUGGUCAAUGGGCGCGAGCCUGAACCAGCCAAGUCGCGUGAGGGAAGACGGUCCUAUGGAUUGUAAACCUCUUUUGUCGGGGAGCAAAAGACGCCACGCGUGGCGUUCCGAGAGUACCCGAAGAAAAAGCAUCGGCUAACUCCGUGCCAGCAGCCGCGGUAAUACGGAGGAUGCGAGCGUUAUCCGGAUUGAUUGGGUUUAAAGGGUGCGCAGGCGGAAGAUCAAGUCAGCGGUAAAAUUGAGAGGCUCAACCUCUUCGAGCCGUUGAAACUGGUUUUCUUGAGGGAGUGAGAGGUAUGCGGAAUGCGUGGUGUAGCGGUGAAAUGCAUAGAUAUCACGCAGAACUCCGAUUGCGAAGGCAGCAUACCGGCGCUCAACUGACGCUCAUGCACGAAAGUGUGGGUAUCGAACAGGAUUAGAUACCCCUGUAGUC
RNAcentral lists this ribosomal RNA (459 nucleotides) under uncultured bacterium. RNAcentral's name for it is "partial 16S ribosomal RNA". It matches the Rfam family "Bacterial small subunit ribosomal RNA", at positions 338 to 795 of the family's 1533-position model. The record is from RNAcentral.